Molecule: ribosomal RNA, 319 nt
Filed under: uncultured bacterium
Lineage: Bacteria
Description: bacterial SSU rRNA
Rfam family: Bacterial small subunit ribosomal RNA
Source: RNAcentral
CGUCGGAACGUACCGAGUAAUGGGGGAUAACGCAGCGAAAGCUGUGCUAAUACCGCAUACGCCCUGAGGGGGAAAGUGGGGGAUCGCAAGACCUCACGUUAUUCGAGCGGCCGACGUCUGAUUAGCUAGUUGGUGGGGUAAUGGCCUACCAAGGCGACGAUCAGUAGCGGGUCUGAGAGGAUGAUCCGCCACACUGGAACUGAGACACGGUCCAGACUCCUACGGGAGGCAGCAGUGGGGAAUUUUGGACAAUGGGCGAAAGCCUGAUCCAGCCAUUCCGCGUGAGUGAAGAAGGCCUUCGGGUUGUAAAGCUCUUUCU